This 253-nucleotide ribosomal RNA is filed under the name uncultured bacterium. Its description in RNAcentral is "partial 16S ribosomal RNA". It matches the Rfam family "Bacterial small subunit ribosomal RNA", at positions 524 to 776 of the family's 1533-position model. The record is from RNAcentral.
GACGAACCGUCCGAACGUUAUUCGGAAUCACUGGGCUUAAAGGGUGCGUAGGCGGCGCGGAAAGUUGGGUGUGAAAUCCCUCGGCUCAACCGAGGAACUGCGCCCAAAACUACCGUGCUCGAGGGAGAUAGAGGAGAGCGGAACUUAGGGUGGAGCGGUGAAAUGCGUUGAUAUCCUAAGGAACACCGGUGGCGAAAGCGGCUCUCUGGAUCUCUUCUGACGCUGAGGCACGAAAGCUAGGGUAGCGAACGGG